RNAcentral lists this long non-coding RNA (284 nucleotides) under Vitis vinifera (wine grape). Its description in RNAcentral is "long non-coding RNA (VVIN_LNC001467)". Lineage: Eukaryota; Viridiplantae; Streptophyta; Magnoliopsida; Vitales; Vitaceae. The record is from RNAcentral.
AAAGAGCAUUUAUGAGGUUCAGCUACCCUUUUUGUAAGUUUUGAAGGACUAAAACUCAGUUGUUAAACACAUACCGGUUCGGGAAGUAAGCAUCACCUUAGUUGCUUCCCCAACUCGAGGUGAAAAGUUCCAAAAUUUCCAUUUUUACACAGUGAGUUAAGCAUGGCUAUCCAAAGCUUUGAGAAACUUCUUUUUCCAUCUUUUAACCUAUUUUCAUGUUAGUUUAGUUUACAACACCUUCAUCUUUUUAUGUUUUCAUCUUAACCUAAUUUUUAUUAAGAAAA